Molecule: ribosomal RNA, 486 nt
Filed under: uncultured bacterium
Lineage: Bacteria
Description: bacterial SSU rRNA
Rfam family: Bacterial small subunit ribosomal RNA
Source: RNAcentral
UAGUCCACGCCGUAAACGAUGGUCACUAGCUGUUCGAACUUCGGUUUGAGUGGCUAAGCGAAAGUGAUAAGUGACCCACCUGGGGAGUACGUUCGCAAGAAUGAAACUCAAAGGAAUUGACGGGGGCCCGCACAAGCGGUGGAGCAUGUGGUUUAAUUCGAUGAUACGCGAGGAACCUUACUAGGGCUUAAAUGUAGUAUGACAGGUUUAGAGAUAGACUUUUCUUCGGACAUAUUACAAGGUGCUGCAUGGUUGUCGUCAGCUCGUGCCGUGAGGUGUCAGGUUAAGUCCUAUAACGAGCGCAACCCCUGUUGUUAGUUGCCAGCAUGUAAAGAUGGGAACUCUAACAAGACUGCCGGUGCAAACCGUGAGGAAGGUGGGGAGUGACGGUCAAAUCAUCACGGCCCUUACGUCCUGGGGCCGACACACGUGCUACAAUGGCCGGGUACAGAGAGCAGCCAUCUGGUGACAGAGCGCGGAAUCUAC